CCUGAGCAGGUGUGAAGUGCAGGAAAUGAGUCGCAUAGUGCCUGCACAGCAGGAGGGGUAAGUGCUGUGCAUUGGCUGAUAUUGAGACUCCUUAACCCUUCCUCAUCGCACCUGCCCUUCAUGGAUUGCCACAUUGGAGGUUUGUUCUUCACUCGGCUAUGUACCAGUGAAUACAUUGGCCCUAUCUGUGAUGUUUCGACAAUAAUACAGGCCAAGGGAUCUCAAAUGGAGACACCUGUAUGCCAAAGCAAUCACGCUAUCGUCUGUUAUACAGACACAUCCACAUAAAUCAAGAGUUCUGAGAUCAGGGCAUCCGUAUGCUAGGCUCACUACUCCAAGAUCACCCACAUUCUCACACCAUCCCAGAUU
Molecule: unclassified non-coding RNA, 369 nt
Filed under: Hevea brasiliensis (rubber tree)
Lineage: Eukaryota; Viridiplantae; Streptophyta; Magnoliopsida; Malpighiales; Euphorbiaceae
Source: RNAcentral